GCACCGCUGAUGAGUCCCGAUCUGGGACGAAACGGCCGUCCAGUGC
This 46-nucleotide non-coding RNA is filed under the name Schistosoma curassoni. The record is from RNAcentral. Lineage: Eukaryota; Metazoa; Platyhelminthes; Trematoda; Strigeidida; Schistosomatidae.